AUUCUAAUUUUAGUCAAUUUAUUGUCACUUGUCAGUGCUUGACUGCUUGAAUUAUUUUCUUUGACUGAAAUUUUGUCAGUCAUCAAAAACAUUCCAUUUGUUCAUUGUAAUUUUUAAAAUUGUUAUAUUUUCUUCAGACAACAAUGGAAUUCAGAUUUAAUCUCAAUGAAUUUUUAAGAGGUGACAUAUCAAAGAUUAAUAAAAAUCUUUUACCAGAUAGUUUCAACGGUGACAGAAGGGCUGCGGCGAAAUGUAUUGGUUAUGUGUCCGAAAUAAUGGAUACGAUGGGACUAGCAUCUGCCAAAGCACAAGCACUUUUAAAACCCAUCACAAGUGCAGAGAAAUUAAGAAAUUCCAACUAUGACGUUUAUCUGCUAGCAGAUCUGGAAUCAAACAAUGGUAAAGGAACAGUUGUUGGACUUUUGAAAGUGGGCCGGAAAAAUCUGUACAUGUUUGAUGAGACGGGCAUGACACAUGAAAGAAAAGCUCUCUGCAUUCUGGACUUCUACGUGUACGAGUCGAGUCAACGUAAAGGAUACGGAAAACGACUAUUUGAACAUAUGCUUCAUGAGGAGAAUGUGUUGCCCCAUGAAAUGGCAAUUGAUAAGCCGUCUGAAAAGUUCCUAGCUUUCCUGUUCAAGCACUACGGUCUUCAAAAUAUCAUUCCUCAGUCAAAUAAUUUUGUCAUCUACGAGGGAUUCUUUGACUACCUCAAAUCAGAUGUUGCUAAUGGUACAAAAGGUGCAGCCUCCAAACAGUCUGGAAACGAUAAUUAUGAGUCCGAAGCACAACAUUCAUUCAUGAAUCACCAGGACUCGAUUAUGCCUGACGAGUACGGACAGUCAAAGUACGGCAGACAUGCAGCCUACAAGCCUGUAUCAACUAUUGGACAGGAAGAUGAAGGAGAGGAUAAACCUGAAUAGGAAUCCUGUAUUGCGUCAAAUGAAUUCAGAUAUAGUCCAGUCAUCUGCAAAUAUUGAAAUACCAAAAAACGGAUCAUGAGCACGAGCCUGCAACAAGAGGUGCCGCCGAGUGAUUACACACUCAACGAGUCCUACGACACGUUCUCGUCGCAGAGCACGCAGUGUGAUGUGGACAACGCUCGCUACGAUCUCAAAUACAACCAUUCUACUCUUUGGUAGUGUUGAGCACAUCACUUUCAUGUUUUUUAUCAAUUAUUCUAACCUCAAA
This 1191-nucleotide unclassified non-coding RNA is filed under the name Nilaparvata lugens (brown planthopper). RNAcentral describes it as "alpha-tubulin N-acetyltransferase, transcript variant X3". The record is from RNAcentral. Lineage: Eukaryota; Metazoa; Arthropoda; Insecta; Hemiptera; Delphacidae.